Molecule: long non-coding RNA, 426 nt
Filed under: Carica papaya (papaya)
Lineage: Eukaryota; Viridiplantae; Streptophyta; Magnoliopsida; Brassicales; Caricaceae
Description: long non-coding RNA (CPAP_LNC000185)
Source: RNAcentral
CUAAGACCUCCUAAGAAUAUUGCCAUGAUUGUUUCCAAAUCUUCUUCUAUAUUGGCCCUAAUCAUGGCCAUCUCCAUCUCUUUGUAAUAGUCCUCAAUGGACAUAGUUCCCUGUGUUAAACGUUACAAUUUUUGGUGCAUUUCUCUAUAGUAAUAACAAGGUACGAACCUUUUUCACAUGAUGGCCUUCAUCUCUCUCCAAGUGGAGACUAGUUGUUCCCCAUUACACCGUCUAGUGAGGAUUAGUUGAUCCCACCACAUUAGGGCAUAAUCAAUGAAUUCUACAGCUGCCGCUUGAUCUUCCUUUCUUCGUCGUAGUUGUGGCAGUCAAAGAACGGUUCUACUUUUCUUUCCUACUCCAGGAAGGCUUCUAUAUCAUUUCUACCUUUAAAGGAUGGUAUCUUCAUUUUGAUGGAGCUGAUAUUAU